CUUCAGUCUCAAAGAGUGAAGGAGUGACAGAGGAAAUAACUCAAAGUGUGAGACCCCUGACAACAGAAUCUGCACCCUGCUUAAACAACAGUUUGACUUGCAACAAAGAAAAUGAGUUUUCAAGUCCCUCCACAUCAUUGGCAGACCUAUACCCGUCAACACCACUGUCCAUGGACAACCGGGAAACCUUUGGAAUAAAAAAAAAAAAAAGAGUCAGCAAAGGAGAUGAAGAGCAACAACUCACGAAAAAAUAUUUGAAAGAACGAACAGCAGAGUCUUUACUACGGCAACAAAAAAUAGGACUACAAAUAAAAAAACUUGAACUGGAA
This is a long non-coding RNA of Pomacea canaliculata, 329 nucleotides long. RefSeq lists it as uncharacterized. The record is from RefSeq and is a predicted model, not a curated record. The transcript is spliced from 3 exons. Lineage: Eukaryota; Metazoa; Mollusca; Gastropoda; Architaenioglossa; Ampullariidae.